Molecule: ribosomal RNA, 484 nt
Filed under: uncultured bacterium
Lineage: Bacteria
Description: partial 16S ribosomal RNA
Rfam family: Bacterial small subunit ribosomal RNA
Source: RNAcentral
AUUGAACGCUGGCGGCAGGCCUAACACAUGCAAGUCGAGCGGAUGAAGGGAGCUUGCUCCUGGAUUCAGCUGCGGACGGGUGAGUAAUGCCUAGGAAUCUGCCUGGUAGUUGGGGAUAACGUCCGGAAACGGGCGCUAAUACCGCAUACGUCCUGAGUGAGAAAGUGGGGGAUCUUCGGACCUCGCGCUAUCAGAUGAGCCUAGGUCGGAUUAGCUAGUUGGUGGGGUAAAGGCCUACCAAGGCGACGAUCCGUAACUGGUCUGAGAGGAUGAUCAGUCACACUGGAACUGAGACACGGUCCAGACUCCUACGGGAGGCAGCAGUGGGGAAUAUUGGACAAUGGGCGAAAGCCUGAUCCAGCCAUGCCGCGUGUGUGAAGAAGGUCUUCGGAUUGUAAAGCACUUUAAGUUGGGAGGAAGGGCAGUAAGUUAAUACCUUGCUGUUUUGACGGUACCAACAGAAUAAGCACCGGCUAUCUUCGUG